This is a long non-coding RNA of Parus major (Great Tit), 3650 nucleotides long. RefSeq lists it as uncharacterized. The record is from RefSeq and is a predicted model, not a curated record. The transcript has 4 exons. Lineage: Eukaryota; Metazoa; Chordata; Aves; Passeriformes; Paridae.
CAGCAGGACCAUAUGUGUCUGCACAGAUAGCAAAAGCCAGAGACUGACAUAAUUUAGCCAAAUAAACAACUUCACAUACAAGAAAUGACAUGUGGCAGAAGAGAUCCGGGAAAGGACACAGUUUAAGCCUCCUAAAUUUAGAGGCUAUUUGCUUCAAAUAAGAGAGCAGAGACAAGGGGCAACCCAAUAGCCACAGAUUCCUCUGCAACACCAAUUUCUGUUAGGGAGAUGUCAAAGUCAAGAAGGAGAAACCAUACCCAAAGCAGAGGAUAUAGACUUCUUCAAAACUGAUGCAUCUAAAUUAAGGAUUUUUAUAUGUGUGAAAGGUCUUGGAUAAAUAUUUGGGUUGGUCCCAUGCCAAUACAUAUUCCAGGAGCUGCUGAGAAGCUGCGAUUCCUGCAAACUUAAAGACAGUCUGAUCCCGGUCCUGGAAAAGGCAAGGCCGCCUGGCCACCAACAACAGCCAGGUGUUGGACCAGGCCAAUAAAAGCCCUCUAUCUCCAUUCCACCGAGGUGGAGACAAGACCAGGUAGAAGAGAAGGCAGGAAGCAGUGAUCAACUGGAAAACUACCAUGAACAAAAAUCCAAGCACUACCACAAAAACAUGAAAACCCAGGGAAAGAAAAUUCUAUGAAAAUACUGUAAUAGGUUACCUUUAUGUGAAUGACUCUUCAUGCUCGCCUAGACUGAGUCACUCUGUGAAGUGCCUCGCGGUCCAUCUGGCUGCCAACUCCUGGCUAAACUUGAACAUCUUGUGACUGAAAUGAAUGCAUCAAAGGCUAAGGCACUGCAAGUUUGGACCUAACACAUAAACUGGACCCCUUAAAGCUUCACUUGCGCUGAAACUUAAGGCUAACAAUGUCUAAGCAUCCCAAGCAGUACAUGAACAACAGUCACCAUUUAAGUAACACCAGAAAAACUGGAAUCAAUUUACAGUAAGUUUCCAAAACCAGCAUCUAACAGCCUUAAAGCCUCUAAGGGACACAAGAAUGCCUACUUCCAGGUAGAGCUAUGCUGUGGCUGUGUUGAAAGGCAGGGGAAGAAUGGAAAAUGCACUCACAUCAGCCAACCACUGCCACUGUAUUUCUCUCUAAAGAAAGCAAAUCACUGAAUUAUCAACUGUAAAUGACUUCUGGGUCACAGAAGGCAGUGGAAGGGUUGAAAUCUUGAACUACAGCUGCUGACGCCUAGUGUCUUUAUCUCCCUGCUCCCUAUGGUUUCUCAAAGGAUGAAUGACCUGCCUGCAAUGAAUUAUGCCUGAUCUUCCAGACAGGGUAUACACUAAGUCAUUAAGUCAUCUAAGAGUAUAACCCCCCCAAGGGAAUUACCAAAUGAAUGUGAAAUCCUGUCCUGCUCUUAGCCCUUGUGACAGACUUCUCCAUGCUUCUGAUGCAGGCAUCUUUCAGGAGCAAGAAUGGGGCUUGAAUUGGUGUGGCUAAUUGUUUUCUGAUAUUCACAUUUUCUGCUUCUAAGGCCGCAAAGUUAGAAUAGUAAUAACAGUCAUUUCCUUCAGAGGAAGGGAAAACACAACCCCUCUCUGACCACCAAGAUUUCUAAACCCCAAUGUACCAGCUAAGACAAGCAGUUAGCAUGAGACUAGCAGACAGCUUACGGCUAUCAUAUUUGUGUUGGACAUAAUGGGUUUUGUCCAGAUGAAAGGGUAUGCUUCUUCUGAAGAGCAGCACAUUUUUUUAAUUAAAAGAAAUUGAUUUAGUGACAGCAUUUACAAUUGGGUAUCUGACAAGCCCACUGACCUUCACACAAAUAUACAAAUGACUGAAGCUUGAUGCGUUCAGAGAAACGAAUUCUCGCUUGAAACCACAAACACUGAAAUCACUGACUGCUGCAGAACCCAAGGAACCCCCUCUAAAGCAGAGCGCAUCAAAGACGACUUAGGGUAAAGACUGGUCUGCACAGUGGACCUUUCCAUAUAACACUUCAUGAAGUCAGGGGGAUAAAUAACAUGUUUAAAUAGAGACAAAAAAGCAUGUCUGACAAAGGCUCACCCAUACUUUAUUACAGCCUGGCAAAGCUUUAGCUCACCACUUGCCUGAGAUGCUGUAUUUACAGUCGCUACUCCCAUUGCUCCUUGUACUGAGUAAGUUGUGCAGUAGUUACAUAUCUUCUUUCAAGUGUUCUCAGUGCCCACACAAAAGAAAGGGUGCUCAGCAGCACCCUUAAUAAGAAGAGACAUACUAGCACCUCCAGACAGCUCUAAACAGUUUGGCACCCAGCCUCUAAAGCUGUUUUCAAGGGGCUGUUGCUCAGGUUUGUUUUUAGUUUCCCAUUAUCUGCAGCCAGGGUAAUGAACACCCUAGGAGGUGUUUCCUUGGAAGUGGUGGUGUGACAGCCUCUGUGUUCCAUCCUGGCCAAACAGCAACCAAAUCUGAGUUUUACUGGGAAGGAAAAUAAGCAGGAUUCUCCGUGAAAGAACAAACCCGUCGGAAUGGAAAUCUGCACCUUUGCAAAAGGGUAACAACAACCUCUAACCUUCUGCCUGGUGAUGCCUACAAAAUACAUGAAUGAAUGAUGCUCAGCACCAUUUCAGCAUCCCCUUCUAAAUUUAAAAUUAUAGAUUAAAAAUAAUAAUAAUUUUUUAAAAGCUCAGUUUUCUUUAUUUACAAGGUUUACCGAAUGAAAACCUCCCAGUCCGGUCAACCUGAUAGGUUUCUCUGAAUGUUACCAGAUAAAAAAUAAAACCUAAUCCUUGCUUGAAUGUUCCUGGGACAGGGCCAGGAUAUUUAUAUCUUCCCAGGGCAAAAUUCAAACUAGGCCUUGUGCUGUGCCAAGAAAAGUCCUGCUAGGACAAGGAAAGAGGAAAUUGCUCCAGUUUCCAUGUGGACAUCAGAAAACUUUGUCUGGAAAAUAGAAGAUGCCACACAGAUGGUCAGAGAGCAACCAGACUUCCUUUAGAAAGCUACACACAACACUAUUCUCAAAACUUUUUUUUUUUGGAGGAUGGCUCAGGCUUGUUGUUCUUCUGUGUGUGUUUUGGUUUACUUUUUUUUUUUUAAUCAGGACCUUCUACAUGAAUAAAAAGCAAUCUAAGUGAUCUAAGUUUCUUCUUCAAUCAGUAUGUCAUGCCCAGAGACAUACUGGGCACCUCCACAAGUGUGAGUUUAAUCUUAUCUCCCUAUCCAUACUGGUUUAUAUAAGGACUUAGGGGUUUUUUUCUCUUAUGUAAUACCUAUUUUUUCACACUAUACCUCCAGCCACUACCAUAAACAAGGAAUUCAACUGCAUGAUGGUGAAAAGUUUUCACUAACAGACCAGCUUCUAAGCCUGCAAGCAGUCUGCUAAAGGAAAAAUAAAAGCAACAGAUUUUCAGUUUUAGUGGACAAGGACAACAAGGGCUCCCUUGUUAGCUUCUAUUUAUGGUCCCACAGCAGAUGACCUGAAUCUCCUCCAUACUCAUCCCCCUCUACAGAGCCUAUAGCUUAGAUUAUUCACUUCUUAAUGAAAACACCACCUGCCAGAUGGACAAGAGAAUAAUUACAUUACACUUACAUUAUUAAAAUACAUACGAGUCCUGUUUGCUGUGCACAGAGCAGGGCUAUACAUCUGGAUCUGUGUACAGUAGAAAGACUUCUAGAAAUGGGAUUUUCCUCACUGUAUUUUUUGGUAAUAAAGAUCAGCAUCUGAUUCUUGGA